AUGGCGUUGUAACGGACUUCAAUGCUGUAGACUCUGAUGGCUCCGUUUGGGUUGCUCACGGCGGGCAGGUUUCUGUUUAUGAUUGGAGUUUGACACAUACCGAAACUAUUAGGACACACCUUGAUUACAUCAGCUCCAUUAGGAAGGUUGGACCCGAUUUGGCUGGUGUUGCUUCUGAAUUCGAAUCCGGGCUCCAUUUUUACAACUUGGCUAAUGGACGUAGAGUUGGCUCUGUGGAAUGGACCGACCCGUCUGACCCGAGAAUCUACAAGGCCCGAGUACACGCUGUUGUUGACUCGCCGGACUCUGUUUUUGCUGCCUUCGAGUGUCAACAUAGAGAAAAUUGUGUUCUGAGUAUUGAUAAGUCUACGAUGAAAGCGGUUUCGGAGUUGGGAAGACAAUCUGGUAAUUCGGCAAAGUCAACUGUUGUUGGAAAGUUAACAUUUUUGCCGGAGAUUAAUGCGCUAGUCGGUGUUUCAGUUACUGCCGGAGCUUUUGGGUAUGCCGGUUAUGUGCGGUUGUGGGACUCCAGGUCCGGAGACGUUGUCUGGGAGACGAAUGAGCCGGGUUCAGGUCGGAGCAGUCGGUUCGGGGACUCGUUUGCUGACGUUGACUUUGACAGGGAGGAUUUGACUAUGUUCAAGAUAUGUUCAAAAUCAGGUGAUUUGGCUGUGGCAGACCUACGUAAAUUAAGUGAAGAUCCAUGGGUUUAUCUGGAAGAGAAAAAUCCAUGCAUGAGGAAUUCAGGUGGUGGAACUAGUAGCUUGAUUCACUGUUAUAGACAGCAGGUGUUUGUGGGAAGAGAAGGAGGGCUGGAAGUAUGGUCGAGAAUGGUGGAGAAUAGAAGUGAUGUUGAGAGGGAAAGGGUGUUGCAUGAAGGAUUGUAUAGGAGGAAUUAUAUGGAUAAAGUGGAGGAUGCCGGAAGAGGGAUCAUAAAGAAGAUUGAGGGAGCUGGAGAUAGGUUGUUUGUUUCUAGAGAAGAUGCUGAGGGGAUUGAAGUGUGGCAAAGUUCUCAGUUUUCCGGUGCUGUUUUAAGUUUGUGAUCGUGUGGAGCUGUGAGCAUUGUAUGAGCUUACGUUGCCUGUUUCAUGUCCUAACAGAGAAGAGGGUUGCAGUCAAUUGACGAUUCGAGUGAAACUACGAGCCGACCUGAGCUACUUUGAGAUUGAGCAGAUUUGUUGUAGUAUAUUUUUGAGCUGUUUGCAAUGGUCAUCAAUGGGAAGUUGGUCUAUGGUCAGAGUAAAGUUAGAAUCCACCCCGAACUAGUUUGAGAUUGAGCUUAGUUGUUGUUGUAUAUAUUUUAGCUGUCCAACUACAGCUUGCAAUGGUCAUCAAUGAAAUGAAUUGUAUAUUUGGUUGGAUGUCAAGUUGAUCAAUCAAGGAACAAUGUGCAAAGAUUUGAUACGACCGUGACAAAUACCUGAAAUCAGAUUCUUGUUGAUCCAUUUUGGACAUGAUGUUGAUCAAUCAAGAACAAUGUGGACGUGUGUUAUGCCAUCAUGUGAAAUGAAUUUGGG
Molecule: unclassified non-coding RNA, 1517 nt
Filed under: Hevea brasiliensis (rubber tree)
Lineage: Eukaryota; Viridiplantae; Streptophyta; Magnoliopsida; Malpighiales; Euphorbiaceae
Source: RNAcentral